RNAcentral lists this ribosomal RNA (750 nucleotides) under Bacillus spizizenii. RNAcentral describes it as "bacterial SSU rRNA". It matches the Rfam family "Bacterial small subunit ribosomal RNA", at positions 8 to 740 of the family's 1533-position model. The record is from RNAcentral. Lineage: Bacteria; Bacillati; Bacillota; Bacilli; Caryophanales; Bacillaceae.
AGAGUUUGAUCCUGGCUCAGGACGAACGCUGGCGGCGUGCNUAAUACAUGCAAGUCGAGCGGACAGAUGGGAGCUUGCUCCCUGAUGUUAGCGGCGGACGGGUGAGUAACACGUGGGUAACCUGCCUGUAAGACUGGGAUAACUCCGGGAAACCGGGGCUAAUACCGGAUGCUUAUUUGAACCGCAUGGUUCAAACAUAAAAGGUGGCUUCGGCUACCACUUACAGAUGGACCCGCGGCGCAUUAGCUAGUUGGUGAGGUAACGGCUCACCAAGGCAACGAUGCGUAGCCGACCUGAGAGGGUGAUCGGCCACACUGGGACUGAGACACGGCCCAGACUCCUACGGGAGGCAGCAGUAGGGAAUCUUCCGCAAUGGACGAAAGUCUGACGGAGCAACGCCGCGUGAGUGAUGAAGGUUUUCGGAUCGUAAAGCUCUGUUGUUAGGGAAGAACAAGUACCGUUCGAAUAGGGCGGUACCUUGACGGUACCUAACCAGAAAGCCACGGCUAACUACGUGCCAGCAGCCGCGGUAAUACGUAGGUGGCAAGCGUUGUCCGGAAUUAUUGGGCGUAAAGGGCUCGCAGGCGGUUUCUUAAGUCUGAUGUGAAAGCCCCCGGCUCAACCGGGGAGGGUCAUUGGAAACUGGGGAACUUGAGUGCAGAAGAGGAGAGUGGAAUUCCACGUGUAGCGGUGAAAUGCGUAGAGAUGUGGAGGAACACCAGUGGCGAAGGCGACUNNNCGGUCUGUAAC